This 82-nucleotide transfer RNA is filed under the name Dreissena polymorpha. Its description in RNAcentral is "transfer RNA serine (anticodon CGA)". It matches the Rfam family "tRNA". Rfam says of the family: Transfer RNA (tRNA) molecules are approximately 80 nucleotides in length. The record is from Rfam by way of RNAcentral. Lineage: Eukaryota; Metazoa; Mollusca; Bivalvia; Myida; Dreissenidae.
GUCGUGGUUGCCGGGUGGUUAAGGCGUUUGACUCGAAAUCUAAUUGGCUCAGCCCGCACAGGUUCAAAUCCUGUCUACGACG